GAUACCUAAAAUAAACAUAAGGGACCAAAUUGAUACUUUUUAAACGUAAGAGACCAAAUUGAAACCUAAAAUAAAUGUAAGGGACCAAAUGUGUAGUUAAGCCGUAAUUGUACAAACUAUGAGAUACAACAUCAUAAUAAAGCCCCAAAUGUGAAAGCGCCAAUCAUGUUAUCCUUUGAGUAUCUUCACACCCAAGUUCUUUUUGUGAUAAGAUGUAUUCAUCUAAUAGAUUCUCUGAUAAUUAAGCACAAUGUGUUUUGGUUCACUUCAAUCAACCACAACUCACCCAUGAAGUGUCUGUUACAAAGGUAACAUAGAGCACAAAGAUUUCAUUUAAUUACAUGAGACUUGGAACAAAAAAUUAAAAAUAAAAUUCAAUAAUAUAGGACAAAAGUUUAACAAUUGAAGGACAUCUGUUAAUAGAAGGUUAGCAUAAAAAUAAAUAAAUUAGCAAGCUAUGCAAAAAGAGCUUAAAUCUUACACACAAAACAUAAAUCUCACUUUCUCUACAUAAUUUUUCUUCUAUAUAUUAAAAAAAGUUUGUCCCAUAAAAAAUUUGUUAAAGAAAGUAUAUGCAUAUUUAGUUUUUCUUUUUAAAAAGAAAAAACAGAAAGAAGGAAAGUCUCAACAAAUUAUUCUCUUUACCUCACAGGGAUAUGAUGCCUACAUAAAUUAGGAGAAACAAAAAGGGAGGCAAAUUGUAAAGCACAAAGCUGGUGGCCAAAGAGAUUGAUAAGAAGACAUUUAUAGCGUCUAAUGUUUAUCCAAAGAGAUUGAUUCAAGGGGAAUAUGAUUCUUAUAGCUUGCCAUAUUCUCAGUCAGAACACCAGAUAUAAAAAAAAUGUCUACCUAAAAAACGGGUGGCCUUGUGGAGCAAACUUAAUGUUGAGCAAACAUUAAUAAAGUCAAAGUUAAAAGUUAUUUAAAAACUCACAAACUGAGGGAAGAACUUAAAUGUUAACCAAAAUGAUAUACAUAAGGUUUAAUUUAAGUCAAGCUUUGUGAAUAAAUCUCAAUACUUGUGAGAUCUUUCCCUUUAUAUACAACCAUGUCACAAAUGUUUUAGAAUUUGUAAAGCUAGCUCCACUCAUGCUUCUAUAUAUGUCCACAUAUCUUAAUGGAGUUCUCUUCUUUAUACUUAAUUCAAACAUUACUCUUGUAAAUCUAUUGCUUAGGGUAACCUACCUGUUCCAUAUAAAAAUAUUUUUUCUGCUAAGCCCAACAUUAUGCAAAAAGAGAACAAAAAGACUGUUAACAAAAGAAAAUCUUAACAUUGUUUGAUAACAAAAUGAUAGUGCCAAUGUUUUUAUUAUUCAUCAUUUAGUUUUCAUCAACACAAAGCAAACUCUAUCAAUAUUUUGAGUGUAUUUGUAGAAUCUCAUUUAGUUUUCAUCAACACAAAGCAAACUCUUACAAUAUUUCUCAUGUUAAAGUUAAGGUUUCCAAAGAUAUGACAAUAACUAAGAGUGAGCAUGCACAAUCAUUAAGAUGAAAAUUUGAAAACAAAAGACAACUUUUACUUCUGAAGCACUCACCUAUCACAUAUAUUGUUUAAAGACCCCAAAUCAUGAUAGAAAUAUAAUCAGAGAUUAAAGUAAAAAUCAUACUAAAAUAUCAAUUGAAAGCAAGAGUCAUUAUGUGCAAUAAAUAAUUAUGCUAAAAUCAUGCUAAAAGAUCAAUUAAAAGAAUAUAAUUAGUUAUCAUACUAUCCAUUUUUACUUUAAAAGAUCAAUCAAAAGUAGCCAUUAAAAUCACAUUUACUGGUUGUAGUUGUGCAUAAACCAGUAGUAUGUCUAACAACCAGAAUCAUAUGCCUUCCCACCUCCAUUCUUAUUUCAAUCUUUUAAAAAAGUAAAAGCCUCCAUAGAGUUUUGUCUGCUACCUUGCAAAAACAGUACAGUUUUGAGGCUUCAAAAGUUAACAUUUAUGAUGAGAGUUAGAAGAAUCUUGAAAAAACACAUUAGAUAAAGAACAAAUCAUAUACAACUCAAACUAACUAACAUCUCAAUAAUCAACCACCACUUCACCACUUAAUAUGAAUCCAACAACCAUCGUCAAGCACAACCAGAACCAUAGAUCAUUAUGAUAAAGCAAAACACAACAAUCAAUAAGCAUGUUUACACAACAAUAUUCCAAUUGUCAAAUUUCAACUACAAUGCAGGUUUAAACAUACCCAUGAAAUAAAAUUCAAUUGGGCACAAAGAUCAAAAGGGGUCUGCAAAUAAUUAUAUAUAAAAAAAUCACAAAACAAUAAAUAAUUGUUUUUGAUAUUGUUUACCUACUAAUUACUC
RNAcentral lists this long non-coding RNA (2291 nucleotides) under Trifolium pratense (red clover). RNAcentral describes it as "long non-coding RNA (TPRA_LNC001498)". Lineage: Eukaryota; Viridiplantae; Streptophyta; Magnoliopsida; Fabales; Fabaceae. The record is from RNAcentral.